RNAcentral lists this ribosomal RNA (372 nucleotides) under uncultured organism. RNAcentral's name for it is "partial 16S ribosomal RNA". It matches the Rfam family "Bacterial small subunit ribosomal RNA", at positions 527 to 896 of the family's 1533-position model. The record is from RNAcentral.
GGAGGGAGCUAGCGUUGUUCGGAAUCACUGGGCGUAAAGGGCGCGUAGGCGGUCGAGUAAGUCGUGUGUGAAAGACCGGGGCUCAACUCCGUGUACUGCAUGCGAUACUGCCCGGCUAGAGAAAGGUAGAGGCGAGUGGAAUUCCCGGUGUAGCGGUGGAAUGCGUAGAUAUCGGGAAGAACACCUGUGGCGAAGGCGGCUCGCUGGGCCUUUUCUGACGCUGAAGUGCGAAAGCGUGGGGAGCAAACAGGAUUAGAUACCCUGGUAGUCCACGCCGUAAACGAUGGGCACUAGGCGUUGGGAGGAUUGACCCUCUCAGUGCCGUAGCUAACGCGUUAAGUGCCCCCGCCUGGGGAUACGGCCGCAAGGCUG